GUAUCUGGUUUGAGAGGACGAUCAGACACACUGGAACUGAGACACGGUCCAGACUCCUACGGGAGGCAGCAGUGGGGAAUUUUCCGCAAUGGGCGAAAGCCUGACGGAGCAAUACCGCGUGAGGGAUGACGGCCUAUGGGUUGUAAACCUCUUUUUUCAGGGAGGAAUCAAUGACGUGUACCUGAAGAAUAAGCAUCGGCUAACUCCGUGCCAGCAGCCGCGGUAAGACGGAGGAUGCAAGUGUUAUCCGGAAUCACUGGGCGUAAAGCGUCUGUAGGUGGUUUAAUAAGUCAACUGUUAAAUCUUGAGGCUUAACCUCGAAAUCGCAGUCGAAACUAUUAGACUAGAGUAUAGUAGGGGUAAAGGGAAUUUCCAGUGGAGCGGUGAAAUGCGUAGAUAUUGGAAAGAACACCAAUGGCGAAGGCACUUUACUGGGCUAUUACUAACACUGAGAGACGAAAGCUAGGGUAGCAAAUGGGAUUAGAUACCCUGGUAGUCC
This 499-nucleotide ribosomal RNA is filed under the name uncultured bacterium. RNAcentral's name for it is "bacterial SSU rRNA". It matches the Rfam family "Bacterial small subunit ribosomal RNA", at positions 283 to 796 of the family's 1533-position model. The record is from RNAcentral.